AUGUACCACUCGUACACUCCGGUUCCUCCGCGCCGUCCGCAUCCACCUGACGACUGCUCGCUACGUUUUGUUAGUC
This 76-nucleotide small RNA is filed under the name Xanthomonas sp. NCPPB 1560. RNAcentral's name for it is "sX9 sRNA". It matches the Rfam family "Xanthomonas sRNA sX9". The record is from RNAcentral. RNAcentral also lists the same sequence under 6 other names. Lineage: Bacteria; Pseudomonadati; Pseudomonadota; Gammaproteobacteria; Lysobacterales; Lysobacteraceae.